GAGGGUAUAGCUCAGUGGUAGAGUGCGUGCCUAGCAUGCAUGAGGCCCUGGAUUCAAUCCCCAGUAUCUUGC
RNAcentral lists this transfer RNA (72 nucleotides) under Camelus bactrianus (Bactrian camel). It matches the Rfam family "tRNA". Rfam says of the family: Transfer RNA (tRNA) molecules are approximately 80 nucleotides in length. Their secondary structure includes four short double-helical elements and three loops (D, anti-codon, and T loops). Further hydrogen bonds mediate the characteristic L-shaped molecular structure. tRNAs have two regions of fundamental functional importance: the anti-codon, which is responsible for specific mRNA codon recognition, and the 3' end, to which the tRNAs corresponding amino acid is attached (by aminoacyl-tRNA synthetases). tRNAs cope with the degeneracy of the genetic code in two manners: having more than one tRNA (with a specific anti-codon) for a particular amino acid; and 'wobble' base-pairing, i.e. permitting non-standard base-pairing at the 3rd anti-codon position. RNAcentral also lists the same sequence under 2 other names. Lineage: Eukaryota; Metazoa; Chordata; Mammalia; Artiodactyla; Camelidae. The record is from Rfam by way of RNAcentral.